This 447-nucleotide ribosomal RNA is filed under the name uncultured bacterium. Its description in RNAcentral is "bacterial SSU rRNA". It matches the Rfam family "Bacterial small subunit ribosomal RNA", at positions 355 to 825 of the family's 1533-position model. The record is from RNAcentral.
UGGGGAAUCUUGGACAAUGGGCGCAAGCCUGAUCCAGCCAUGCCGCGUGAGUGAAGAAGGCCUUAGGGUUGUAAAGCUCUUUUACCAGGGAUGAUAAUGACAGUACCUGGAGAAUAAGCUCCGGCUAACUCCGUGCCAGCAGCCGCGGUAAUACGGAGGGAGCUAGCGUUGUUCGGAAUUACUGGGCGUAAAGCGUGCGUAGGCGGCCAUUCAAGUCAGAGGUGAAAGCCUGGAGCUCAACUCCAGAACUGCCUUUGAAACUAGAUGGCUAGAAUCUUGGAGAGGUGAGUGGAAUUCCGAGUGUAGAGGUGAAAUUCGUAGAUAUUCGGAAGAACACCAGUGGCGAAGGCGACUCACUGGACAAGUAUUGACGCUGAGGUACGAAAGCGUGGGGAGCAAACAGGAUUAGAUACCCCGGUAGUCCCUGAGCGGGCUGGCAAGGCGCAU